UCGAGGAUCUUCGUCAAUGGGCGCAAGCCUGAACGAGCGACGCCGCGUGCGCGAUGAAGGCCUUCGGGUUGUAAAGCGCGAAAGUGGGGAUAAAACCGCAAGGUUGAUUGAUCCACAGUAAGGACGGGCUAAGUUCGUGCCAGCAGCCGCGGUAAGACGAACUGUCCAAACGUUGUUCGGAAUCACUGGGCUUAAAGGGCGCGUAGGCGGUCGAUCAAGUCAGGGGUGAAAUCCUGCAGCUUAACUGUAGAAGUGCCUUUGAUACUGAUCGUCUGGAGGGAGAUAGGGGUGUGUGGAACUUCCAGUGGAGCGGUGAAAUGCGUUGAUAUUGGAAGGAACGCCGGAGGCGAAAGCGACGCACUGGAUCUCUUCUGACGCUGAGGCGCGAAAGCUAGGGGAGCAAACGG
This 407-nucleotide ribosomal RNA is filed under the name uncultured bacterium. Its description in RNAcentral is "bacterial SSU rRNA". It matches the Rfam family "Bacterial small subunit ribosomal RNA", at positions 355 to 775 of the family's 1533-position model. The record is from RNAcentral.